GGGAGCUGCUCAGGAGGAUAGAUAGAGGGAUCAGAAUAUGGACAGGGGGACAGAAGCACCAGAUGAGGCAGAAGACAGAAGGCAGAAGGCAGGCUCAUCAGUGCAGAGAACACUCCAAGGAGGGUUGAAGAGAGCAGAUGCUUGACUGCUGAGGAGGAAAUGGCUUUGUGUUGGAGGAGUCCUGAUUACGCCCUCCAUAAAGAAUCUGACCAGCUCCCUUCAGGAUGCCGCUAACAGACACUCUCUCAUUUGUGCACCAGCUGACAGGCUUUAAUCUUAUACACAAACAUAAGCAAGUGCAUUUUGAUUUACUCUGUAUUACCAUUCAUCUGGCUUUUUUUUUUUUUUUUUUAAUAUUUAGUGUGGGUCUAUGAAAUUGUGUGUUAAUGUUGAUUGUUAACUUUGUGAUCUGGUUGCAAACCUUCAUCAUCAUAAAAAGUUUGAAGUCUUUUGUUUUUCUGGUGCCAUUUUUUAUGCAUCUGUCAUCAGAACCCUAAUGUAUUACACACUAAGUGGGUUUAGGAUGCAAAAGCUCUGUAUUUGCAAUAUGGCAGAAACAUGCAGUUUUUGAGUCAUAUAGCAGUUCUUGCACAUGCUUGUUUUUAGGAUCUCAGUCAUAGCCAGUUAUACAUUAAUAAAUAGUAUAUGACAAUCCA
Long non-coding RNA from Epinephelus fuscoguttatus (brown-marbled grouper), 656 nucleotides. RefSeq lists it as uncharacterized. NCBI's taxonomy places the organism in Eukaryota, Metazoa, Chordata, Actinopteri, Perciformes, Serranidae. The record is from RefSeq and is a predicted model, not a curated record. The transcript has 2 exons.